UUUGCUUACAAGGAUCUUAUGAUGCCACGUAGAGUAUGUAGAGAUAGACAGUUAAAAGACAUAAGAUAACACUAUAUAGAAAGAAAAACGAUUGAAAAUAAACUACAAUGUAGUAGUCGGCAACCAAUUAGAUGGAAAAUGUAGGCUUCUAAUCGGGUUGUUCGGAAUUGUGCACAACUACUAAAAAAAUGGAAAAAAAACAUAGAUGUUGUU
RNAcentral lists this long non-coding RNA (213 nucleotides) under Mytilus galloprovincialis (Mediterranean mussel). Lineage: Eukaryota; Metazoa; Mollusca; Bivalvia; Mytilida; Mytilidae. The record is from RNAcentral.